AUUGGAUGAUGCCCAUUCAUGCUGAGGAGAGCCAUCUGCUUUACUCAGGCCAGCGUGAAUUCCAAUGCUUAUCUCUUCUUUGGAUGCAAAUUAUCUUCCACAUUCUGGAGCAGAGAGUUCCAUGUUUCUGAAGACCCUUCAUACUUCGAGCUCAAGUCCAGGAACCACAUGGCAGCCAUGAUCUAGUUUAAAGAACACUAGGCCAGCCUCUGGAGAUCCAGAUUUCAUUUUGUCUCUGCUAGUAACUC
Long non-coding RNA from Zalophus californianus (California sea lion), 248 nucleotides. RefSeq lists it as uncharacterized. Lineage: Eukaryota; Metazoa; Chordata; Mammalia; Carnivora; Otariidae. The transcript is spliced from 3 exons. The record is from RefSeq and is a predicted model, not a curated record.